RNAcentral lists this transfer RNA (72 nucleotides) under Candidatus Amesiibacteriota bacterium. Its description in RNAcentral is "Candidatus Amesbacteria bacterium tRNA-Thr". It matches the Rfam family "tRNA". Rfam says of the family: Transfer RNA (tRNA) molecules are approximately 80 nucleotides in length. Their secondary structure includes four short double-helical elements and three loops (D, anti-codon, and T loops). Further hydrogen bonds mediate the characteristic L-shaped molecular structure. tRNAs have two regions of fundamental functional importance: the anti-codon, which is responsible for specific mRNA codon recognition, and the 3' end, to which the tRNAs corresponding amino acid is attached (by aminoacyl-tRNA synthetases). tRNAs cope with the degeneracy of the genetic code in two manners: having more than one tRNA (with a specific anti-codon) for a particular amino acid; and 'wobble' base-pairing, i.e. permitting non-standard base-pairing at the 3rd anti-codon position. Lineage: Bacteria; Candidatus Amesiibacteriota. The record is from RNAcentral.
GCCCAGGUGGCUCAAUGGUAGAGCAAGUCCAUGGUAAGGACUAGGCCGGGAGUCCGAUUCUCCCCCUGGGCU